This 88-nucleotide microRNA precursor is filed under the name Pan troglodytes (chimpanzee). Lineage: Eukaryota; Metazoa; Chordata; Mammalia; Primates; Hominidae. The record is from RNAcentral.
UGUUGUCUGUGGUACCCUACUCUGGAGAGUGACAAUCAUGUAUAACUAAAUUUGAUUGACACUUCUGUGAGUAGAGUAACGCAUGACA